This 225-nucleotide long non-coding RNA is filed under the name Panax ginseng (ginseng). RNAcentral's name for it is "long non-coding RNA (PGIN_LNC009643)". The record is from RNAcentral. Lineage: Eukaryota; Viridiplantae; Streptophyta; Magnoliopsida; Apiales; Araliaceae.
UCCUUCUUCUUGUAUCCUUUGACAAUGGGGAAUUUCUUGUGGUGCAUCCUUUUUAGGCCUUCAUGGAAGUCAAUGCCAUCUAUGAACGAGAACCCUUCGGAUUUGAAACCUAGGGCUUGGUUGAUGUCCUCAACCUUUAGCUUGAUUUCCACGUCCUUGACUUUCGUCGUGAUGACCUCAUUUUCGAACACUCCAUUCCUGUAAAACUCCUUUAUAAGCUUCGGG